This 2233-nucleotide ribosomal RNA is filed under the name marine metagenome. RNAcentral's name for it is "bacterial LSU rRNA". It matches the Rfam family "Archaeal large subunit ribosomal RNA", at positions 73 to 2362 of the family's 2987-position model. The record is from RNAcentral.
AUGCUUCGGGGAGGCGCAUGGAGCCUUUGAUCCGAAGAUUGCCGAAUGGGACUUCCCAAACUCUAGUAGUUUAAUCCGAAAGGAUGGGGAACGCUCCGAAUUGAAACAUCUUAGUAGGAGCAGGAAAAGAAAUCAAAUGAGAUGAGGUUAGUAAAGGCGAUCGAACACCUCAUAGAGCAAUCCGAAUCUUCUGAUGAAAAUCAGUAGAAAUGUGGAGUGGCCUGUUUACAUCUUAACACUAUUAUCCGAAUUUCGUGUGGAACACCGGCGCCAAAGAGGGUGAUAGCCCCGUAGGAGACGCAGUGAAAGAUGAUUUUCAGGACCCAAGAGUAGCGUGCAUUGGAUAUUGCGCGUGAAUGUGGGAGGUACUAACUUCCAACUCUAAAUACAAACCGAGACCGACAGCGCAAUAGUAGCGUGAGCGAAAGUUGUAAAGUAUCCCUGACGGGAGAUUAAUAAGAUCCUGAAAUCAGGUGGUAACAGACUGGUAUGGCAUGCAAGGGAUUAAGCGGUUACACCGCCGCACCGAUGUCAUACCGUUCGAUUCGAAAAUUGAUCCGUGGAGUUUCUAUCAUUGGCGAGGUUAAGUACGUAGGUACGAAGCCGUAGGGAAACCGAUAGCCCGCAGCGCAAGCGAGGGGCAAGGUGUGCUCGCCUGGAGUCAAUGGUUGGAUACCCGAAGCCGGUCGAUCUAUGCCUGGGCAGGGUGAAGCCUUUCGGAAGAAGGGUGGAGGCCCGAACCAGUACUGAUGUGCAAAUCGUUUGGAUGACCUGGGUAUAGGGGCGAAAGACCAAUCUAGACCGGCAAUUGCUGGUUCCUCUCGAAACUGCUCGCAGGCAGACCUCAGCAGAGACGGGGCAUGCGGUAGAGCACUGAUUGCGUGUUUAGGAAGCGAAAGUUUUCGGCAUGCUGUCAAACUCCGAAUGUGUGUCCGUUGUAGAAGCUGGGCAGUGAGGGCAUCGGGGUAAGCUUGAUGUCCAUAAGGAAAACAAACCAGACCAAAGUUAAGGUCCCUAAGUAAUAGCUAAGUGUUAAAGAACAAAUAGUGUUUAACAGCAUAGACAGCUGGAAGGUUGGCUUAGAGGCAGCCAUCCUUUAAAGAGUUCGUAACAGAUCACCAGUCAAGUUCUUGAGCCUAGAAAAUGGACGGGACUAAGUUGUUCACCGAUACUUUGGGCCACCGAAAGGUGAUGCGGUAGAGAGGCGUCGUGCGCGGGUGGAAGUGGGGCCGAGAGGUCCUGUGGACCGCGUUCGAAUGAUAAUCAUGGAAAGAGUAGUAGCGUAGAUGGGUGAGAAUCCCAUCCGCCGGAGGGGCUAGGGUUCCUCGACGAUGUUCAUCAGUCGAGGGUUAGUCGGUCCUAAGGUUCCCCCUAACAGGAGGAAUCGAAAGGGAAGCAGGUUAAAAUUCCUGCACCAAUUCAUAUUUUGUCCAGUUCCUGACACAUCGGGUCUUGUGGAGCACUCUUGUCGGAGUGUUGCCUUAAACAAUAAAUUUGUGGAGUACCGUAAUGGUGAGAAGCAAACUAAGUUUUUGGGAGGCGGAGUAUUUCGCUUCUGCGUUAGCCUGGUGUCCGUGAAAAGGGAGCUGGAGCCGUAUGAGUUGUCCGUACCGAGAUCUGACACAGGUGCCCCUAGGUGAGUAGCCUAAGGCGUCGCGGCAGAAUCCGGGCGAGGGAAUUCGGCAAAUUAGCCCCGUACCUUUGGUAUAAGGGGUGCCAGCUCUGAAGAGAGCUGGUCGCAGUGACUAGGGAGCUCCGACUGUUUAUUAAAAACACAGGUGGCUGCUAGUCCGUAAGGAUGUGUAUAGCCGCUGAAUCCUGCCCAGUGGCAGUAUCUGAAACCAGGUUUCAACCUGACGAAGGACUGCUAAACGGCGGGGGUAACUAUGACCCUCUUAAGGUAGCGUAAUACCUUGUCGCUUAAUUGGCGACUUGCACGAACGGCCUAACGAGAGCUCUACUGUCCCCGCCCGGAGCCCGAUGAAAUUGACUUACUGGCGCACAGUCCAGUACGUCCCAGCCGCAAGCGAAGACCCCGUGGAGCUUUACUGCAACCUGCCGUUGUGGCACGAGUUGUUAUGUGUAGCGUAGACGGGAGACAUUACACAGGUGCGAGCGCUAGCUCGUCGCCGAGUCACCGAUGAAACACCGUCCUUUUCGAUUCGUCCCACUCACCUCUUAGGAGGAACCCCGGUAGGCGGGCAGUUUGGGUGGGGCGCCACUCCCUCGAAAA